AUUGAACGCUGGCGGCAUGCUUUACACAUGCAAGUCGGACGGCAGCACAGAGAAGCUUGCUUCUUGGGUGGCGAGUGGCGAACGGGUGAGUAAUAUAUCGGAACGUACCGAGCAGUGGGGGAUAACUAAUCGAAAGAUUAGCUAAUACCGCAUAUUUUCUGAGGAAGAAAGCAGGGGACCAUUUGGCCUUGCGCUGUUUGAGCGGCCGAUAUCUGAUUAGCUAGUUGGUGGGGUAAAGGCCUACCAAGGCGACGAUCAGUAGCGGGUCUGAGAGGAUGAUCCGCCACACUGGGACUGAGACACGGCCCAGACUCCUACGGGAGGCAGCAGUGGGGAAUUUUGGACAAUGGGCGCAAGCCUGAUCCAGCCAUGCCGCGUGUCUGAAGAAGGCCUUCGGGUUGUAAAGGACUUUUGUCAGGGAAGAAAAGGAUAGGGUUAAUACCCCUGUCUGAUGACGGUACCUGAAGAAUAAGCACCGGCUAACUACGUGCCAGCAGCCGCGGUAAUACGUAGGGUGCGAGCGUUAAUCGGAAUUACUGGGCGUAAAGCGGGCGCAGACGGUUACUUAAGCAGGAUGUGAAAUCCCCGGGCUCAACCCGGGAACUGCGUUCUGAACUGGGUAACUAGAGUGUGUCAGAGGGAGGUAGAAUUCCACGUGUAGCAGUGAAAUGCGUAGAGAUGUGGAGGAAUACCGAUGGCGAAGGCAGCCUCCUGGGAUAACACUGACGUUCAUGCCCGAAAGCGUGGGUAGCAAACAGG
RNAcentral lists this ribosomal RNA (759 nucleotides) under uncultured Neisseria sp. RNAcentral's name for it is "bacterial SSU rRNA". It matches the Rfam family "Bacterial small subunit ribosomal RNA", at positions 28 to 776 of the family's 1533-position model. The record is from RNAcentral. Lineage: Bacteria; Pseudomonadati; Pseudomonadota; Betaproteobacteria; Neisseriales; Neisseriaceae.